GGCGUGGCCAAGCGGUAAGGCAGCGGGUUUUGGUCCUGUUACUCGGAGGUUCGAAUCCUUCCGUCCCAGA
This 70-nucleotide transfer RNA is filed under the name Globba winitii. RNAcentral's name for it is "tRNA-Cys". It matches the Rfam family "tRNA". From Rfam's summary of the family: Transfer RNA (tRNA) molecules are approximately 80 nucleotides in length. Their secondary structure includes four short double-helical elements and three loops (D, anti-codon, and T loops). RNAcentral also lists the same sequence under 1 other name. Lineage: Eukaryota; Viridiplantae; Streptophyta; Magnoliopsida; Zingiberales; Zingiberaceae. The record is from RNAcentral.